UGGUUUGCGUGAGUCGGGCUGCCCAAGAUACCCUUUUGCCGGCAUGCAGGAGCCCAUCACGAACUUGCCUAGAACCGGCUACAGAUGCGGUGUGUUGGCUCAGUUCGCUUAUUUUAUAAGUCGUAUUUUUUCUGACAGCUAGUAAUAUUUUUCUUUCAUAAUAACUCAAUGAACAAUAAUAUUUUCAGUUGUGUGCCUAACCGGAGGGUGGUGGUGGUGGGCGAAACGAAAACGAAGGGAAGUUUGGUGCUUGGGAUGCUGUUAGCCUGUUUGGCAGUUUCCUGCUACAAGCAAGUCCCGCGAUGUCUUGCUUUUGGCGGUUUGGCCGGCUAGAUCGCCAAAAUGGUGCAACGUGCUCUGGUUGCUCAGCUUGGGUGCCAUUUGUCGUUGCCGACGUGCUUCGGUCUCAGAUUUCGAUUGGUGUCGACCAAUGCGGCUUCAGUAAAUGCCGAGGAUGUUUGGCUUGGCCCGGCAUGCCAGGGUUCUGCAUAAAUCGAACAGAAAUUAAGUUGCUGCAGAAAAAAAAACUAAUUUUUUACAGGUGCUUGUGUAAUAGUAAUUGUAAUGACUUACCACAGUCAAGAUCUCUGUACAAAUACAAAUUAACUUAGUGUAUCAUUUGUGUGUUUUAUAAUAAACAUCUCACACGGAAGAAACAUAAGGGCACUCACAAUGUAAGACUCUACCACAGAGUCUAAGACAAUUAAUUACAUAUUAUUUAUGGUAUUUUGCUGAUGUGGCAGCAUAUUUAUUGAAGAAAG
RNAcentral lists this long non-coding RNA (761 nucleotides) under Sorghum bicolor (sorghum). RNAcentral describes it as "long non-coding RNA (SBIC_LNC007445)". Lineage: Eukaryota; Viridiplantae; Streptophyta; Magnoliopsida; Poales; Poaceae. The record is from RNAcentral.